RNAcentral lists this unclassified non-coding RNA (225 nucleotides) under plant metagenome. Its description in RNAcentral is "partial contains small subunit ribosomal RNA, internal transcribed spacer 1, and 5.8S ribosomal RNA". The record is from RNAcentral.
UCUCCGUUGGUGAACCAGCGGAGGGAUCAUUACAGGACUCGCAAGACUCCUACAACCCUGUGAACUUAACUAUAAGCACGUUGCUUCGGCGGGUGUCUCGGAGGGGGUUCUCCCUCCCCGAGACGCUAAACCCGCCGGCAGCCUACUACACUCUGUCUCUUUGCGUUGGCAUCUCGAGUACAAUCAAACAAGUUAAAGCUUUCAACAACGGAUCUCUUGGUUCUG